CGCUACACAUGCAGUCGAACGAGAAAGGGAGCAAUCCUGAGUAAAGUGGCGGACGGGUGCGUAACACGUAGGUAACCUGCCCUAGGAUGGGGGAUAACGUUCCGAAAGGAGCGCUAAUACCGCAUACAGCCCACGGCGUCAGCUGUGGGGCAAAGGUUGGGAUUCGCAAGAACCAAUCGUCCUAGGAGGGGCCUGCGGCCCAUCAGCUAGUUGGUGAGGUAAUGGCUCACCAAGGCGAAGACGGGUAGCUGGUCUGAGAGGAUGAUCAGCCACACUGGUACUGGAACACGGACCAGACUCCUACGGGAGGCAGCAGUGGGGAAUCUUGGUCAAUGGGCGCAAGCCUGAACCAGCGACGCCGCGUGAGUGAUGAAGGCCUUCGGGUUGUAAAGCUCUGUGGGGAGGGACGAAAGAGUCGGUUCUAACAGGACCGAUGUUGACGGUACCUCCUUAGCAAGCACCGGCUAACUCUGUGCCAGCAGCCGCGGUAAGACAGAGGGUGCAAACGUUGCUCGGAAUCACUGGGCGUAAAGGGCGUGUAGGCGGAUAGGCAAGUCAGACGUGAAAUCCCCAGGCUCAACCUGGGAACUGCAUUUGAAACUGCCUGUCUUGAGUAUCGGAGAGGAAAGCGGAAUUCCUGGUGUAGAGGUGAAAUUCGUAGAUAUCAGGAGGAACACCGGUGG
Molecule: ribosomal RNA, 683 nt
Filed under: uncultured bacterium
Lineage: Bacteria
Description: bacterial SSU rRNA
Rfam family: Bacterial small subunit ribosomal RNA
Source: RNAcentral